Long non-coding RNA from Mauremys mutica (yellowpond turtle), 1013 nucleotides. RefSeq lists it as uncharacterized. The transcript has 3 exons. NCBI's taxonomy places the organism in Eukaryota, Metazoa, Chordata, Testudines, Geoemydidae. The record is from RefSeq and is a predicted model, not a curated record.
UGGCUGGUGGGUGCCCCCUUGCAGUAGUCAGGAACCGGAGAGAAAAGGGGUCCUUCACUGCUUGGAAAGCCUCUGGUAUCGAAAGGACUGUCAGACCGCUGGCACCGUGGCAGCUUUUGGCAGUUGGCGGAGGGUUCUGCACUGGACUCAACACCCUAGGCAACGGUGCCAUCUCUGGCUCAGGGAGGAAAAGUGGCCCAACACAGGUCUCACUGUAAUGGCAUCUCCCUGCUUGUCCUUUCUCUGCACUGGAAGGAAAUUGGUGCUCAUUCACAGAACAAUACAACAAAUUCUUAAACGGACGAUUGCAACAAUCAGCUUAAAAUCUAUCGCAUAAAUGAAGGGAAGUACAUGUGAAAUCUGUGGACAACCUACAUCCUUCAAAAGAAGCUAGCACAAAAAUUGGUUUAAAAAACCCCUUUAAACCCUCUGCAGCUCAAAGGCUCUGCUCACAACAGAAGCUUUUCAACAGCUCUCAUAAAUGCCUGGAAAGCUUGUUUUAAGUUUCAACGCUGAUUCCAAAGGAAAAAUAAUCAUUCAGCACUUUGCGCUACAGUGCUCACAAGCCAUCCUGAAUCUUCUGUAAGCCCUGUGACAUGUUCUUCAAGUAAUAGGUGAAAGCACAGAAUCAAUGAAAAAACAAUUUGUACACCAAAUACAAGUGGACACAGUAAUGAAGCAGAAAGACUGUAUUUUUAACUGGAAAGCCACAUUCGCUGAGUAAAUAAGCUUCUCUUGGAAAUAUAUAUGUAGACUCAAUGAGUGGAUGUUCGACACAGGAAUUUGUUUCCCUACUGGAAAUCUUUAAAUUAUCAAAUCCUUUUACCCAACAGGGACUUACGAAAAUGAAUUUGGAUUCUCAUCCAACAAUAAACAUUCAUUAUGUUAUUUUGAUCUUCAACUGUUACUAGAGCCAGUAUGCUCCCGCCCCCACCUUUUCUUUUUAAGUCUCCUACAAGGGCAUUUCAGUUCUAGAAGAGUUUAAAAAUCUGAGUUUUCAGCAUGAUGUUCAC